RNAcentral lists this ribosomal RNA (440 nucleotides) under uncultured Russulaceae. Its description in RNAcentral is "eukaryotic LSU rRNA". The stretch from base 1 to 105 matches the Rfam family "5.8S ribosomal RNA", at positions 50 to 154 of the family's 154-position model. The record is from RNAcentral. Lineage: Eukaryota; Fungi; Basidiomycota; Agaricomycetes; Russulales; Russulaceae.
GAAAUGCGAUACGUAAUGUGAAUUGCAGAAUUCAGUGAAUCAUCGAAUCUUUGAACGCACCUUGCGCCCCUUGGUAUUCCGAGGGGCACACCCGUUUGAGUGUCGUGAAAAUCUCAACCUUCUCGGUUUCUUCUGGACACCGAAGGAGGCUUGGACUUUGGAGGCCUUUGCUGGCGUCUCUCUCUCUUGAGAGAGCCAGCUCCUCUUAAAUGAAUUAGCGGGGUCCUCUUUGCUGGUCCUCGACAUGUGAUAAGAUGUUUCCAUGUCUUGGUUUCUGGCUCUGUUGCCUUUGGGACCCGCUUCUAACCGUCUCAACAAGACAACGUUUGAGCGCGUCUCCCUUCUCGGGAGACCCUCUCAACCUCACGAACCCUUGACCUCAAAUCGGGUGAGACUACCCGCUGAACUUAAGCAUAUCAAUAAGCGGAGGAAAAGAAACU